UUAAAGACAGCAUUCACAAAUCUGGGCCUCCACAACUUCUGACUGAUUGGCUUCAAGUUGGGGUUCCCAUUACCCCCUCUUUGAGUUUGAUUAAUUUCCUGGAAUGGCUCGCAGAACUCAAGGAAACACUUACAUUAUUGGUUUAUUAUAAAGAAUAUUACAAAAGAUGCAAACGAAAAGAAAUGUAG
Long non-coding RNA from Sapajus apella (tufted capuchin), 188 nucleotides. RefSeq lists it as uncharacterized. The record is from RefSeq and is a predicted model, not a curated record. The transcript is spliced from 3 exons. Lineage: Eukaryota; Metazoa; Chordata; Mammalia; Primates; Cebidae.